GAGACACCCCUAUGGUGCAGAACUUGCUUCAGUGGGGCUUUGGUGCUCACUGAGUCUGCCCCUUGAAUGUGUCACU
Molecule: non-coding RNA, 76 nt
Organism: Myotis davidii
Lineage: Eukaryota; Metazoa; Chordata; Mammalia; Chiroptera; Vespertilionidae
Source: Rfam